RNAcentral lists this transfer RNA (54 nucleotides) under Pseudocapillaria tomentosa. Its description in RNAcentral is "tRNA-Ala". The record is from RNAcentral. Lineage: Eukaryota; Metazoa; Nematoda; Enoplea; Trichinellida; Capillariidae.
AAUGAUGUACAAGCAUAUUUUCUUUGCAAGAAAAAAGAUUAUAAUCCAUUGUUA